This 242-nucleotide ribosomal RNA is filed under the name uncultured bacterium. RNAcentral describes it as "partial 16S ribosomal RNA". It matches the Rfam family "Bacterial small subunit ribosomal RNA", at positions 355 to 589 of the family's 1533-position model. The record is from RNAcentral.
UAGGGAAUCUUCCACAAUGGACGCAAGUCUGAUGGAGCAACGCCGCGUGAGUGAAGAAGGUUUUCGGACCGUAAAGCUCUGUUGUUGGUGAAGAAGGAUAGAGGUAGUAACUGGCCUUUAUUUGACGGUAAUCAACCAGAAAGUCACGGCUAACUACGUGCCAGCAGCCGCGGUAAUACGUAGGUGGCAAGCGUUGUCCGGAUUUAUUGGGCGUAAAGCGAGCGCAGGCGGAAGAAUAAGUC